CGUCUAGGCGGCUUGGUAAGCGGAACGUGAAAGUCCGGGGCUCAACCCCGGAAGGCCAUUCCGAACUGCCAGGCUAGAGUGCGGGAGAGGGCAGUGGAAUUCCCGGUGUAGCGGUGAAAUGUUUAGAUAUCGGGAGGAACACCAGUGGCGAAGGCGGCUGCCUGGACCGUUACUGACGCUGAAGCGCGAAAGCCAGGGGAGCGAACGGGAUUAGAUACCCCGGUAGUCCUGGCCCUAAACGAUGAGCACUAGGUGUUGGGAGCAUCAACCCUCUCAGUGCCGUAGCCAACGCAUUAAGUGCUCCGCCUGGGGAGUACGGCCGCAAGGUUAAA
This 332-nucleotide ribosomal RNA is filed under the name uncultured bacterium. RNAcentral describes it as "bacterial SSU rRNA". It matches the Rfam family "Bacterial small subunit ribosomal RNA", at positions 568 to 898 of the family's 1533-position model. The record is from RNAcentral.